CAGUCGCCGCGGUAAAACGUAGGUGGCAAGCGUUGUCCGGAAUUAUUGGGCGUAAAGCGCGCGCAGGCGGAUAGGUCAGUCUGUCUUAAAAGUUCGGGGCUUAACCCCGUGAUGGGAUGGAAACUGCCAAUCUAGAGUAUCGGAGAGGAAAGUGGAAUUCCUAGUGUAGCGGUGAAAUGCGUAGAUAUUAGGAAGAACACCAGUGGCGAAGGCGACUUUCUGGACGAAAACUGACGCUGAGGCGCGAAAGCCAGGGGAGCGAACGGGAUUAGAGACCCGUGUAGUCCCUGUCUCUUAUACA
Molecule: ribosomal RNA, 301 nt
Filed under: uncultured bacterium
Lineage: Bacteria
Description: partial 16S ribosomal RNA
Rfam family: Bacterial small subunit ribosomal RNA
Source: RNAcentral